RNAcentral lists this ribosomal RNA (450 nucleotides) under uncultured bacterium. RNAcentral's name for it is "partial 16S ribosomal RNA". It matches the Rfam family "Bacterial small subunit ribosomal RNA", at positions 338 to 795 of the family's 1533-position model. The record is from RNAcentral.
CCUACGGGAGGCUGCAGUAAGGAAUAUUGGUCAAUGGACGCAAGUCUGAACCAGCCAUGCCGCGUGGAGGAUGAAGGUCCUCUGGAUUGUAAACUUCUUUUAUUUGGGAAGAAACUCCCGAUUUCCAUCGGGAUUGACGGUACCAGAUGAAUAAGCACCGGCUAACUCCGUGCCAGCAGCCGCGGUAAUACGGAGGGUGCAGGAUUUAUCCGGAUGCACUGGGUCGAAGGUGGGCAUGGAAGGGAGUGGUGAAAUCUCCGGGCUGAACCCGGAAACUGCCAUUGAUACUAUUUGUCUUGAAUACUCUGGAGGUGAGCGGAAUAUGUCAUGUAGCGGUGAAAUGCUUAGAUAUGACAUAGAACACCCAUUGCGAAGGCAGCUCACUACGGAAAUAUUGACGCUGAGGCACGAAAGCGUGGGGAUCAAACAGGAUUAGAUACCCUAGUAGUC